This 2889-nucleotide long non-coding RNA is filed under the name Homo sapiens (human). Its description in RNAcentral is "HSALNT0309519". Lineage: Eukaryota; Metazoa; Chordata; Mammalia; Primates; Hominidae. The record is from RNAcentral.
GUCACACUCAGGGAGAGCAUGGAAGCUCCGCACCCCUUCCCCUAUACCUCGCCUAUCCAUCUCUUCAUCUGUAUCCUUUGUAACAUCCUUUAUGGUAAACCUAAGGGUUUCCCCGAGUUCUGCGAGCCACCCUAGCAAAUUAAUAAAGAGGGGGUCUUUAUCAAUUUAUAGCUGGUUGUCAGAAGUUCCCGAGGCCUGUACUAGUGAGUGAUGUCUGAAGGUCAGGGGUGGUCUUGGGGGACUAAGCCCCCAACCCCUGGGAUCUGACGCUGUCUCCAGGUAGAGAGUGUCAGAACUUAACUGGAGGACCCCCAGUUCAUGCCGGUGUCCAUGUCUGGGCAGUUUGCUCGGUGGUGGGGAGAAAUCCCCACACAUUUGGUCGUAGAAGCCUUCUGUGUUGAUUGUUGUGGCGCGGCGUGAGAACAGAAGAACUGUUGGAGUUUUUUCACCCUCAGAGAGUGUUCUCACUUCUGGCUCCACUUCCUCCCAAGGUGUCUGGGGCACGAGUUCUGCCGGAUGGCAGCGUAACUGGCUUUGGUGUUGAUUUAUGAGUCACCACUGGGGUGAGAUGAGGGAGGCAGACUCAAGUACGUGAUUACAGGGCACCAAGAGACCACCUGCCCAACAGAUCUUCACUCAUUGCCUUACCAAACCUGAAAUUACCUUAGCAAAAGCAAGUAAAUGUGGCCACUCUAGGGCCCCGACCUGGAUUCCUAGCCAGACCAGCCACUGGUGCUCUCUAUCUGAUGCAGCCAGGUUGGUCUCUCUCAACCUCCCCAAACAUGCCCAUGCCUUCCUGCUCCUCUCUACCUGGGCAUGGGCUAUGCCCACCUCCAGGAGGUCCACCAUGAAGGCGUGAGCCCAGUAAUAUGGAAAUGUCUGUUAUCAGGGCCUUUAGGGUAUCCUGUGAUGGUGGGAAGGGGAUGCUAGCACGGGGCCAGGAACAGCAGGAGGUUUGAGGCUGCAUUGGAGAAGGACAGAGCUGGGCUCUUGAAUCCUAAGGCUUUCAUCUCAGGCAUGAAUCUGGUGACAUCAGGACAUUCUCCAGAGCCCAUUGGUACAGGCAGAUUAGGGCAGGUUUGAGAGAUUCUAGAAUCAGGUAGAUAGUACAUUUUGGCAUGUCUAGAUAAUUGAGCUUAGAAAUCAAGCAAUCCAGCCCCUCACUUUACAGUUAAGGAAAUGGAGGUUCAGAGAGAUUCUGAGCUCUUCCCCAUCUUACAUCUGGAAGAGGCCAGGCCAGGGCUCAGAUCCAGGGCCUUUCAUGAAGCAGCCAGGGCCACAUGCCUGGAUCACAGCUGGAAAGCUAUGCCCUAGCAGGGCUGCUGUUUGCAGCUGUUCAGGCCUUGCCUUGCUUUUUAUAGACUGAAGUAUGAGCAACACUGCCUGGGGGUGAGCAGUGCACACACUGCACCACUGUCCGGGGAGGCUCUGAGUCAGAGUCAAAGCAAAGGCCUGAGAGCUCCCAUCAGAGAGGUCCCAUCUCUUGGGCUGGGCUGGGUAUGUGGUGAAAAUGGAGGCAGGAGGGUGACUCGGAACCUGGACAGCAGUGAUGGGUCCCCAUCCAUGGACACUGGAAUUUAGGGUGGAAGACUGGCAUUUGGAAAGGCAGGCUGACUUCGCUGGACUGACAGCUGGACAGAGAGCUGGCUCGGCCUUCCUUGGUGUGGGAACUGCCUGGGAGACUCAGCAUAAAGGAGCAGAGGUGGAUCGCUCCUGCAGGCAUGUGGUUCCCAAAACAGAAAAGGGGACAGAAUAGUCACUGUGGGCCAAGGAGAACAAGGAGACAGCUGUAUAAAUGGAGGACAAGGAUAACAACGUAUUUGACAGAAUAACGGAUGGGAGAGACAGAAACACACAGUCAUGAAGAGGAGAGGUACUGGGCCACAUUCGUCUAUCUGCUAGAGGAAAAAAUGUCUGUUUAGGGACCAGACUGUAAGUAUCAAAAAGGGAAGAAAUUGCUGUAGAUCGGGUGGCCACACAUACCAGUUUCCUGGGUCAAUCCUCACGUGUACCUGCUGUGUCAGUAUUCAGUGGAGUUGGUGCCCUGUUUGACUUUCCAAAGUGUCUUGGUGAAGACAACAAAUUGUGCUGUCACCCUUCCUAUGAAACAUCUUCCUGGAGAGUGUGGUCCAAACUCCAGGUGAAGGCAAUGACCUUAAACAGUAAGAGGGGCAUCUUGUCUUCCAAUAUAUGAAAGAAAAAAAAUGGCAGAAGUGAUGCUGAAGUCUUCAGUAUAGGAUGCCCAAGACUCCACAGUCAGCUUUAGCUCCUUGUUCAGUGGGAAGAGAACAGGCUGAGGCAUGCCCUACCUGUAACAUUCUUCAAAACAUGUCAGGAGCUUCCACAGUGUAAAACUUCCACCCUUUCCCAUCGGGGUUUUGGGGAGGCAACUGAAGAAAGAAUGCUAUUGUGCUCUGUGAGCACCUAUCUUGAUAUAGAACAAGGAUCAAAGUUAAUUUUCUGAAAUAGUAAAUGUUAGUCAUUACGCCAGGUAGAUUAAUUCCAAAUCAAGAGACAUAUGACUUGAUAAGAAGGAGGCAAAAGGAAGAAUUAAAGAUAACAGGGACAGACAUGGCUUAUAAUUUAUCCCAGGACUCAAGAGGUGGGAUACCAAAUCUAUUCCUUUUUUUAGCAACUCCUUUAAUGAGAAUGCCCUAGAUCCUGACCCUCUAGCAAUAUUACAGACUAGUUAAUGCAUACAAAUAAAAUGUUUCAAAAAUCAGUGAGGGGAUAUAGCUGGUGUUGUAAGGGGUAGAACUGGAAAAAAACUGGCUCUAUGGUAAUGGAAAUAGAAGCCGCAUGUAAAGUUUGAGGAUAGUAUGUAAGGAAGUGAAGAUUGCGAGGGUACACAACUCUUUCAAGACCAACAGGAAAGAAUGUGAUAGAAAG